Molecule: long non-coding RNA, 2105 nt
Organism: Passer domesticus (house sparrow)
Lineage: Eukaryota; Metazoa; Chordata; Aves; Passeriformes; Passeridae
Exons: 5
Source: RefSeq, a predicted model, not a curated record
CAUCUUCGUCGCCUCCCUGGUGCCGUUUCCCAGGCGGAAGCCCUUGGACCGGACCCAGAACUGGAACUUGCCUUUCUCCCCCCCGCCGGAGCCGCCGCCGGAGCCGGUUCCCCCCUGCAGCACCUCGGCGAUGCGCUGCUCGCUGCGGACUCUGGCUGGGACAGAACAUCUGUCUGUUGCUAUGGCUGCAGUACACUUGAAGGGGAUGACUGGAUAAUUAUUGCAAACAUCCAUCCUGCCUGGUGUGCUCCCGGACCCUCCCUGCCCCAGCCAGGGCAGCGGCCGCUGCUCGGGCACAACUUCCCUCGCAGGGACCCUGCCGAGGAGCGGUCGGUGUCCUCAUCCUUCCAAAGAGAGGGGUUUCCCCGGAGAGUCGCUGCCGGAGAUUCACCCACCCACGUGGCGUCGGAGCUGAAGCAGCACCGCGUGUGCGGGCGCGUCCCGGUGCGGAGCACGACCGACCCGCCACGGGACGCUGCCUGUAGGAGGAAAACGUGGCAGCGCUGCUCCUGACUCAUUGCACAGGCAGCAAUCCUGCGACAGCGAUGCCGGGCUUGCCCAGCACCAAAAAGUGACAGCAUGCUCCACCCACCCCGGCUGCGGGAGCAGGAGCCUUCUCCGCAUGCCCGCGGUCUGGAGGAGCCGCUAUCCCGAGCACAUCUCCCCGUCCUGCUCCGUGACACACCGAAUCUCACCCUACUGCCCCCGUCCCGCCGCCCCCGCGCUCCCCGGGCACCGCCGUUCCCCUCCCUCGGUCGCCCAGGGCUCAGCUCGCCCCACGGAGCUCUGGGAUGGGGAGGAAGGGGAGAAAGGCUGCUCAGAGGCUGAGGCCCAGCCCUCUCAGAUUUGCAUAUUUUUUACUGGCUCCCAAACAACACAUUUCUCCGGGGAAGCGAAUGCGUCGCCUGCCGUCCCCGAGGGUGCUGUGUGCUGGGACAGCAGCCGCUCUGCGCGGAGGGGCCGCGGUCCCGGCACCCUCCGCGAUCGCUCCACACGCCCGCACUUCUCUGCUGCCGCAGGAAAAGCCUUUCCCUUGGUGGUUUCAAAAUUCUCGGGCUUUAAUGCUGCUGCCCUGGGACUGGGUCCGGUCCCUCUUGGCUCACAGGAGUCCCGGAGGCGGCCGGGCUGCAGCCGCCUGCGCAAAUCUGCUCAUUUCUAUUUUGUCACUAGAAUUUCCAGCAUGUCCCUCCUCUCGUGUAUAAUUUAGUCGCAUGAAAAGGAACCGCGCGAGGAGGAGAAGAAGAUGGGGAAACUUGCAAAGUCAGCCAUGGAGAGGGAAUCUGUGUCAGGAAGCAUCACAAAGGGAGCCGGGGGAUUGGCUCCGGUCGCUUCCAGCGGCUGUGUGUGUGCCAGCCCCUCAGGAAUCGCCCGGCGGCUCCUUCCCUCCCUGCGUCCCUCUCGCCUUCGCUGCGCUGCGGCCGGGCUGGGACAGCCCAUCGCCGUUGCCAUGGCUGCGGUGUGCGGAGGGGGGGCUCGGCCGGCUGCCCCCGCCCGAGCAUCCCGCGCCUUCCUCCCGCCGGCCCCAUCGGGCACGCUCCGGCCCCGCCGCGGCCAAAGCCGCACCGUGGAUUUGACACCCGUGGGAUUAGACAGGGCUGUGCCCGCGGGAGGAGGAGAAGUAGGAGAGGAGGAGGAGGAGGGAGCAGGGCAGCUCCGGGCUGGGCGGCCGCCAGCCGCCUCGGGGAGGGCCGGGAGGGCGGCGGGCAGCCAGGAGCGAUUUCUCCUUCUUCCUGGAGUGGAAGGAGCGAUGGGCGCGUCAGCUGCACGGGCUGGAUGUGUCACCUGCCAGCUGCUAUGGUUGACAGUGCUGUGCUUGCAUCUCUGUGUCCCACAACUGUCCACGGCUGGCCUGGCUUUCCCCUCCGAUCUCUCUGCUCCUGGCUCAGAGCCAUCCCGACCGAGGAACUGCCUGACCCAGCGCAGCACAGGGCGUGUGCGCUGGGACGGGAGCUCGCUCCAGUACGAGCCGCGGGUGACAGAACGGAACAGGGACGCUCGGGUUCAGUUUUAUUGCUUUUGAAAAAGUCCGGGGGCUCCUGCCCCCAUCCCGGAGCUGAGUCAGUGUGGGGGGCUCUGCGGUGGGAGCCGCUGCUCGGGGCUGGGGC